AAGACUAUAGACCUGCGGAGUACCUGCGGAAGGAUCAUUAACGUAUCUAUGAUGGGGUGCGGAGCGCCCUGCUCCGGUCGAACGGCCGUGCAGCGGGUGCGCCGCCCCCGUCCCACCUCACAAACCCACUGUGAACAUUCACCGGUGGAGGGGGCUCGGUCUGCGCCGUGUCCCCGAUGCCGAAUACCCAAACUCCAGUUGCAAAGAACGUCGUGCGGACUCGGUGCCGCCGAAAACAUG
RNAcentral lists this unclassified non-coding RNA (240 nucleotides) under soil metagenome. RNAcentral describes it as "partial contains 5.8S ribosomal RNA, internal transcribed spacer 2, and large subunit ribosomal RNA". The record is from RNAcentral.